Non-coding RNA from Sus scrofa (pig), 1366 nucleotides. NCBI's taxonomy places the organism in Eukaryota, Metazoa, Chordata, Mammalia, Artiodactyla, Suidae. The record is from RefSeq and is a predicted model, not a curated record.
GGCUCCAGUGCGGAAACCGGAGGGGUCCUAAUGACUAGAGGUAGGAGCUUGCACUUUUCAAGAUUUCUAAAUGCAUAAAACGGAGUAGGUGACAUGAAGAACUCAGAAAAUGAAGAGACGUUAAAUCUUUAUCCUGACCUAAGAUGUUGAGAAACUGCCAGAUGGAUCCCUUGCUUCACUUGAUCCUUGGAUCAUUCGUACACCUGCCACUCCUGCUGGUACUUGCCACUGGCAUUCCGCUGUCUAAGAGGACUGCCAAGGUAAUUUGGAAUCAUAUGGUGUUUCAAAGUCAUUAUUAUGAACUCUGGCAAGCAGUUAGAGCACCAUUGUAUCAGUCAGAAGACAAGAGUUCUAGACCCAAGUUGGCCAACUAGCAAGGUGACUAGGUCAAAGAUGCCUUGAAGGUGCAAUGGUAGAAUCCCAGGGCAUUUCAGGAUCCUCUCGUUCUCAAAGUGGCCCCUUAUUCUGUAUUCUCCCAAGAAUAGUGCUUUCAAAUGCUUUAAAAAUUUUGUGUUGUGUUUCUGAACCUUAGCCAUUACUUUGCUUUUGUAAGAAAAUGACUGGGCGUCUGUUUAAACAAACAAACAAACAAACAAACAAAAAACAGCUCUGAAAGUCAAAGGAAAUUCCAUCAUUCCAAGGGUUUCUUAUGAAGGGAACACUGUUGGGGCCAAGAAGGGGUUAACCCUGAGUCACUCUCCUCCCACCUCUUCUCUCAGCCUCCCAGAUACCAUACAGCUGUUGAAAAGUAUCUGUCAACAAAACUAUUACUGUCUUUCCUGGGAUCAACACUAUGUCCUGGACCCUCAAGGUCAGCAGAGCUGCCUUUAGAGCAAGGAGAGGCGACAGGCAGAAAGCUUGCAAAAGCAGUGAAACCCCAAGUGACACUGGCAGGUGGAGGGCUUUCCCCAACUGCUGCGAAUUCUAGAGGGAAAGGUAGGGCUCAAAGGGGAAAGGCUGCCCAACAAGAUAAAGACAUAUUUCCACACCCUAAAAACCCUUUUCUGGAACAGCCUGAGUCCUUCCUCUCCCUUUCUCCCUUCUUGUCCCAGCUCAUGCAUGGUUCAGUUAGGAGAAAGAGUUGUUGUGAAGAAUAAGUGACUAGACGUAGUAUAAUAAAAUAUUGGCUAAUGGUUAAAAAACAGCUACUAUUUGUCUGCCGCGUUAAGUCCUUUAUAUGUAUCUACUUCGUGAAAGAACAAAAAGACAGAAACACCCUGCAAAGUUGAAUCUGUCCUUUUACAGACAAGGAAACCAGUUAGGAGAGGUUAAGUAACUUAAAGUUGUUGAACUAGUAGAUGGUGAAGUCAGAGUUUGAACCAAAGUCUAACUCUUACACCCGUGCAUUUAAUUACUGAGUGUGUUU